CUAGGUACAAGCAGAUCAUACUUACUGCCUACAUCUGGAGCCGCCUCAAAUUUUGUACCUCCAUGAUAGUCGGCUUCUUCUUGCAUAAGAGAGCAUCGAUCAAUCCUUACUAGAUGAGCACGUCUUUUACCUUCGCUUGCUACAAGAAAAAAUUACUCUUUCCAUCAAACAUGUUGAUCUCCACCUUGAUUGAGCUUAUCUUCUCCAUCUUCUAUCUCGAUCACC
Molecule: long non-coding RNA, 225 nt
Filed under: Elaeis guineensis (African oil palm)
Lineage: Eukaryota; Viridiplantae; Streptophyta; Magnoliopsida; Arecales; Arecaceae
Description: long non-coding RNA (EGUI_LNC004230)
Source: RNAcentral